This is a long non-coding RNA of Ipomoea nil (Japanese morning glory), 99 nucleotides long. RefSeq lists it as uncharacterized. The record is from RefSeq and is a predicted model, not a curated record. NCBI's taxonomy places the organism in Eukaryota, Viridiplantae, Streptophyta, Magnoliopsida, Solanales, Convolvulaceae. The transcript has 3 exons.
CUACCCUUUGCUAGAUAAAUGCUACUCAACUCCAUCUCAAUCCUUUCUUCGGCUUUGAACCAUACAUCUCUCAUCUCUGCCUCUAAAUCUUUCAUCGCC